GAUGAACGCUGGCGGCGUGCCUAAUACAUGCAAGUCGAGCGAACAGACGAGGAGCUUGCUCCUCUGACGUUAGCGGCGGACGGGUGAGUAACACGUGGAUAACCUACCUAUAAGACUGGGAUAACUUCGGGAAACCGGAGCUAAUACCGGAUAAUAUAUUGAACCGCAUGGUUCAAUAGUGAAAGACGGUUUUGCUGUCACUUAUAGAGGGAUCCGCGCCGCAUUAGCUAGUUGGUAAGGUAACGGCUUACCAAGGCAACGAUGCGUAGCCGACCUGAGAGGGUGAUCGGCCACACUGGAACUGAGACACGGUCCAGACUCCUACGGGAGGCAGCAGUAGGGAAUCUUCCGCAAUGGGCGAAAGCCUGACGGAGCAACGCCGCGUGAGUGAUGAAGGUCUUCGGAUCGUAAAACUCUGUUAUUAGGGAAGAACAAAUGUGUAAGUAACUAUGCACGUCUUGACGGUACCUAAUCAGAAAGCCACGGCUAACUACGUG
RNAcentral lists this ribosomal RNA (497 nucleotides) under uncultured bacterium. Its description in RNAcentral is "partial 16S ribosomal RNA". It matches the Rfam family "Bacterial small subunit ribosomal RNA", at positions 28 to 507 of the family's 1533-position model. The record is from RNAcentral.